Molecule: ribosomal RNA, 443 nt
Filed under: uncultured bacterium
Lineage: Bacteria
Description: partial 16S ribosomal RNA
Rfam family: Bacterial small subunit ribosomal RNA
Source: RNAcentral
CCUACGGGUGGCUGCAGUGGGGAAUAUUGGGCAAUGGGCGCAAGCCUGACCCAGCAACGCCGCGUGAAGGAAGAAGGCUUUCGGGUUGUAAACCUCUUUUGUCAGGGACGAAGCAAGUGAUGGUACCUGAAGAAUAAGCCACGGCUAACUUCGUGCCAGCAGCCGCGGUACUACGUAGGGGGGAAGCGUCCUCCGGUUUUACUGGGUGUAAAGGGCGAGUAGGCGGGACUGCAAGUCAGAUGUGAAACCCACGGGCUCAACCUGUGGCCUGCAUUUGAAACUGUAGUUCUUGAGUACUGGAGAGGCAGACGGAAUUCCUAGUGUAGCGGUGAAAUGCGUAGAUAUUAGGAGGAACACCAGUGGCGAAGGCGGUCUGCUGGACAGCAACUGACGCUGAGGCGCGAAAGCGUGGGGAGCAAACAGGAUUAGAUACCCGAGUAGUC